Molecule: ribosomal RNA, 253 nt
Filed under: uncultured bacterium
Lineage: Bacteria
Description: partial 16S ribosomal RNA
Rfam family: Bacterial small subunit ribosomal RNA
Source: RNAcentral
CACGUAGGGCGCGAGCGUUGUCCGGAAUUAUUGGGCGUAAAGAGCUCGUAGGCGGCCUGUUGCGUCCGCUGUGAAAGCCCGGGGCUUAACCCCGGGUCGGCAGUGGAUACGGGCAGGCUAGAGGUAGGUAGGGGAGAAUGGAAUUCCCGGUGUAGCGGUGAAAUGCGCAGAUAUCGGGAGGAACACCGGUGGCGAAGGCGGUUCUCUGGGCCUGUACUGACGCUGAGGAGCGAAAGCGUGGGGAGCGAACAGG